AACGAACGUUGGCGGCGUGGAUUAGGCAUGCAAGUCGAACGAAUGUCAGUUUUGUAGCAAUACAGAGCUGGCGGAAGUGGCGAAAGGGGCAGUAAUGCAUGGGUAACCUACCUUGGGGAUGGGGAUAGCCGUUCUAACGAGCGGGUAAUACCCAGAGAUUCGGCGGGAGGGCAUCCUUCUACCGGGAAAUGAAUUUCGCCUCGAGAGGGGCCCAUGUGCUAUUAGCUAGUUGGUGGGUAACGGCCUACCAAGGCUAAGAUGGCUAGCGGGUGUGAGAGCACGACCCGCGCCACUGGCACUGANACACUGGCCAGACACCGUACGGGUGCUGCAGUCGAGGAUCUUCGUCAA
RNAcentral lists this ribosomal RNA (351 nucleotides) under uncultured bacterium. RNAcentral's name for it is "bacterial SSU rRNA". It matches the Rfam family "Bacterial small subunit ribosomal RNA", at positions 29 to 371 of the family's 1533-position model. The record is from RNAcentral.